ACAAACUUGGUCAUUUAGAGGAAGUACAAGUCGUAACAAGGUUUCCGUAGGUGAACCUGCGGAAGGAUCAUUACAGAGAAUUUAGUUACUACCUGCCGGUACCUAGCUGCAGUGGCACUAGCGACUAGUCCAUGCUGCAGCUAGAGUAUUGGUCAGUCAUUUGCUCUCCAGCCAAAGCUGGUCUGCACGCUUCGACUGUAUUAUUAUACAAUCUAUGCUGUACAGCUAUACAGCUAGUAAUAGUUGUACAUGUACAGCUAGUAAUAUAUUGAUCUUUACUUUUAACAAUGGAUCUCUAGGCUCUUGCAUCGAUGAAGAACGCAGC
Molecule: unclassified non-coding RNA, 325 nt
Filed under: uncultured fungus
Lineage: Eukaryota; Fungi
Description: partial contains small subunit ribosomal RNA, internal transcribed spacer 1, and 5.8S ribosomal RNA
Rfam family: Eukaryotic small subunit ribosomal RNA (bases 1-73)
Source: RNAcentral